RNAcentral lists this transfer RNA (91 nucleotides) under Planctomycetota bacterium. RNAcentral's name for it is "Planctomycetes bacterium (groundwater metagenome) tRNA-Tyr". It matches the Rfam family "tRNA". From Rfam's summary of the family: Transfer RNA (tRNA) molecules are approximately 80 nucleotides in length. Their secondary structure includes four short double-helical elements and three loops (D, anti-codon, and T loops). Further hydrogen bonds mediate the characteristic L-shaped molecular structure. tRNAs have two regions of fundamental functional importance: the anti-codon, which is responsible for specific mRNA codon recognition, and the 3' end, to which the tRNAs corresponding amino acid is attached (by aminoacyl-tRNA synthetases). tRNAs cope with the degeneracy of the genetic code in two manners: having more than one tRNA (with a specific anti-codon) for a particular amino acid; and 'wobble' base-pairing, i.e. permitting non-standard base-pairing at the 3rd anti-codon position. The record is from RNAcentral. Lineage: Bacteria; Pseudomonadati; Planctomycetota.
GGGCAGGUACCUGAGUGGUUAAAAGGGCGGGGCUGUAAACCCCGUGAGCCUUACCGGCUCUACAGAGGUUCGAAUCCUCUCCUGCCCACCA